This 460-nucleotide ribosomal RNA is filed under the name uncultured bacterium. RNAcentral describes it as "bacterial SSU rRNA". It matches the Rfam family "Bacterial small subunit ribosomal RNA", at positions 9 to 481 of the family's 1533-position model. The record is from RNAcentral.
GAGUUUGAUCCUGGCUCAGGAUGAACGCUGGCGGCGUGCUUAACACAUGCAAGUCGAACGGACUCAUAUUGAAACCUAGUGAUGUAUGAGUUAGUGGCGGACGGGUGAGUAACGCGUGGAGAACCUGCCGUAUACUGGGGGAUAACACUUAGAAAUAGGUGCUAAUACCGCAUAAGCGCACAGCUUCGCAUGAAGCAGUGUGAGAAACUCCGGUGGUAUACGAUGGAUCCGCGUCUGAUUAGCUGGUUGGCGGGGUAAAGGCCCACCAAGGCGACGAUCAGUAGCCGGCCUGAGAGGGUGAACGGCCACAUUGGGACUGAGACACGGCCCAAACUCCUACGGGAGGCAGCAGUGGGGAAUAUUGCACAAUGGGGGAAACCCUGAUGCAGCGACGCCGCGUGAGUGAAGAAGUAUGUAGGUAUGUAAAGCUCUAUCAGCAGGGAAGAAAUGACGGUACCUG